This 466-nucleotide ribosomal RNA is filed under the name uncultured bacterium. RNAcentral describes it as "partial 16S ribosomal RNA". It matches the Rfam family "Bacterial small subunit ribosomal RNA", at positions 28 to 507 of the family's 1533-position model. The record is from RNAcentral.
GACGAACGCUGGCGGCGCGCCUAACACAUGCAAGUCGAACGAGCGAGAGAGAGCUUGCUUUCUCGAGCGAGUGGCGAACGGGUGAGUAACGCGUGAGGAACCUGCCUCAAAGAGGGGGACAACAGUUGGAAACGACUGCUAAUACCGCAUAAGCCCACGACCCGGCAUCGGGUAGAGGGAAAAGGAGCAAUCCGCUUUGAGAUGGCCUCGCGUCCGAUUAGCUAGUUGGUGAGGUAACGGCCCACCAAGGCGACGAUCGGUAGCCGGACUGAGAGGUUGAACGGCCACAUUGGGACUGAGACACGGCCCAGACUCCUACGGGAGGCAGCAGUUGGGAAUAUUGCACAAUGGGGGAAACCCUGAUGCAGCGACGCCGCGUGGAGGAAGAAGGUCUUCGGAUUGUAAACUCCUGUUGUUGAGGAAGAUAAUGACGGUACUCAACAAGGAAGUGACGGCUAACUACGUG